Molecule: ribosomal RNA, 402 nt
Filed under: bacterium
Lineage: Bacteria
Description: partial 16S ribosomal RNA
Rfam family: Bacterial small subunit ribosomal RNA
Source: RNAcentral
UGGGGAAUUUUGCACAAUGGGGGAAACCCUGAUGCAGCGACGCCGCGUGAUUUAGAAGGCCUUCGGGUUGUAAAAAUCUUUUCUAUGGGAAGAAAAUGACAGUACCAUAGGAAUAAGGACCGGCUAAUUACGUGCCAGCAGCCGCGGUAAUACGUAAGGUCCGAGCGUUGUCCGGAAUCAUUGGUCGUAAAGGGUACGUAGGCGGGUAAGCAAGUUAGAAGUGAAAUCCUAUAGCUCAACUAUAGUAAGCUUUUAAAACUGCUCAUCUUGUGGUAUGGAAGAGAAAGUGGAAUUCCUAGUGUGGCGGUGAAAUGCGCAGCUAUUAGGCGGAAUACCGGUGGCGAAGGCGACUUUCUGGCCAUAACCUAACGCUGAGGUACGAAAGCGUGGGUAGCAAACAGG